CUCCGGUGAUCCUGCCGGACCCGACUGCUAUCAGAGUGGGACUAAGCCAUGCGAGUCAACAUAGCAAUAUGUGGCAUACGGCUCAGUAACACGUAGUCAACAUGCCCAGGGGACGUGGAUAACCUCGGGAAACUGAGGAUAAACCGCGAUAGGUCAUCACUUCUGGAAUGGGUAAUGACUUAAAUCUAUAUGGCCCCUGGAUUGGACUGCGGCCGAUCAGGCUGUUGGUGAGGUAAUGGCCCACCAAACCUGUAACCGGUACGGGCUCUGAGAGGAGGAGCCCGGAGAUGGGCACUGAGACAAGGGCCCAGGCCCUAUGGGGCGCAGCAGGCGCGAAACCUCUGCAAUAGGCGAAAGCUUGACAGGGUUACUCUGAGUGAUUUCCGUUAAGGAGAUCUUUUGGCACCUCUAAAAAUGGUGCAGAAUAAGGGGUGGGCAAGUCUGGUGUCAGCCGCCGCGGUAAUACCAGCACCCCGAGUGGUCGGGACGUUUAUUGGGCCUAAAGCAUCCGUAGCCGGUUCUACAAGUCUUCCGUUAAAUCCACCUGCUUAACAGAUGGGCUGCGGAAGAUACUAUAGAGCUAGGAGGCGGGAGAGGCAAGCGGUACUCGAUGGGUAGGGGUAAAAUCCGUUGAUCCAUUGAAGACCACCAGUGGCGAAGGCGGCUUGCCAGAACGCGCUCGACGGUGAGGGAUGAAAGCUGGGGGAGCAAACCGGAUUAGAUACCCGGGUAGUCCCAGCUGUAAACGAUGCAGACUCGGUGAUGAGUUGGCUUAUUGCUAACUCAGUGCCGCAGGGAAGCCGUUAAGUUUGCCGCCUGGGGAGUACGGUCGCAAGACUGAAACUUAAAGGAAUUGGCGGGGGAGCA
RNAcentral lists this ribosomal RNA (867 nucleotides) under uncultured archaeon. RNAcentral's name for it is "bacterial SSU rRNA". It matches the Rfam family "Archaeal small subunit ribosomal RNA", at positions 1 to 878 of the family's 1478-position model. The record is from RNAcentral.